RNAcentral lists this long non-coding RNA (2657 nucleotides) under Nicotiana benthamiana. RNAcentral's name for it is "long non-coding RNA (NBEN_LNC008005)". Lineage: Eukaryota; Viridiplantae; Streptophyta; Magnoliopsida; Solanales; Solanaceae. The record is from RNAcentral.
ACCAACAGACACUACUCUCACAAUCUGAGACUUUCUGAAUUCUCUCUUUCUCUGCUAUUACUCUGCUUUCUUAUUUAGCCGAUUGAGUAGCCUGGGUUGAUUACUUUACACCACUGGGUCCUAUUGUUUGUCUACUUGGGUCUUUUGCUGCUGCUAUUCCCACAUUGCUGUUGAUAUUCUCAUAUUGCUGUUGCUAUUCCCACAUUGCUGCUGCUAUUCUCAUAUUGCUACUGCUAUUUUCAUACUACCAUUAUUCUCUCUGCUGCUUACAUUCUCUGCUCACCUUGUUCCUCUGUGCAUUAUUGUUAUUAAGGUCUAUCACUUGCAACUGGUAUGUCACCCCUUUAAGAUACAGUUUCCACAACAAUAUGUUUCUAUUGGUUUUGCAUUUCAUAAUGUUUCUUGUAUGCUUUUAUUUAUGGUUUGUUGCUCUUUUUGUCACUAGCAUGUUACUUACUAGUCUAUUUGGUUCAGUUUAACAUGCCCCCUACCCCCUUUGUCCUUGUCUCAAUAUAUGUUUUCCUCUUUCAUGUGCACUACUUCUUGGGUACUUAACAGCUAUGAAAACUCUCCCUAAGGUUGAUUGUAUUUGGGGUUUGGUACAGUAAGAACUAAACCCUUGUUUUACAACCAUGUUUGAUUACUUUCCCCAACAUGUUGUCUGUACACCUAACUUAUUUGCUCUUUACUUAUUUGCUCUCUUACCCCCUCCCCCCGUCUCAAUGAAUGUUUACUUUUUCCUUGUGUGCUACUACCAUGCAUCCAGGUAUGCGUGGCUACUUGUUAACCUAAAACCCCUGUUUGAGGCUAAGUGUGUUAGAGUUUGGUAUAGUAAGAGCUGAACUCUUGUUGCAACCAUGGCUGGUUACUUUUAAUAUGUUGCCCGUGUAAGUACUUUAAUUUGCCUUUUUGUUCCCUUCCCAUUUUCUCUUAUUUGUAUGAUGCUCUGUUAUUCUAAAUCUCAUCUGUCUAAAUUAUUUCAGAGGAACUUUUGAAACUCCUUCAAAUAUUUUUUUACUGUCUCAAACUUCUCCAACUCUUUCAAAUCUUUUCUUAAGCUGUCUCAACUUUUUCUUCAAUUCUUUCAACUGCUUUCUUAAACUAUCUCUCAACUGUUUUCAACUCUCUCAAUUCUAAUCACAAUCUCAUUAUUAGAGCAUUAGGGUAUGCCCCCUUAGUGUAAGCACUGCCUUGGGAGCCUUGAGCACCCAUGGAACUCUGAUGCACAAGGCUGGAACUUCCAUGGUUGCACUUGUCCAAUUGGGAUAUUUUGGGUGCUUGCUAUUUGCCAGGGGUUCAAACGAACCCAUAGGGAACUUCGCAUUUGUCCAAUUGGGAUAUUUAUGUGCUUGGUAUUGGCCAAGGGUUCAAACGAACCCUUAGGGAACUUUGCCGCACCCAAGCCUUUGUAAUGGAUGUGAAACUCGAAAGACGUGAGGUUGGAGAUGCUUGGGCCUGGCUAAGCUUCUUCUUUUCUUUCACUGCUGUAUUUUAUAAAUUACUUGGUUUGUAAUAACUUGUAAAGAACAAUGGGGAUUAUAGUAAAAUUGGGGAGGGUUAUGCAUGAUUAUUAAAGGUAUGUGUAGAAAACAUGUUUAUAGGAUUUACUUAUCUAUUUGCGCAAUAAAAAACAUGUAUAGGACAUGCAUCUCACAUAUAGAAAUCUUGUUCUUAGGUCUUUUUCUUUCAGCUUAUUAUUUUUAUAAUCAUAAUCAGUUAAUAAUCAAAUUACUACCUUGCAUUUUGAUACCAUGUUUUAGGGCCUCUAUAUGCAUUAGAUAUCAUGUACUUAGAGUCUUUCUUUUCUUUUUUUACAACUGUUGAAUGCCUCACUAAUUUUGUUAAAUAGACGUAAGACUAAUUAACAAACUCCUUGUUAAAACUAGAAAUCAUUGCAUGCUCAACGUCUUUAAUAACUCAUAGGCAAGCCUUACGCCGGAUAAAUAUAAAAUGGGCUAAUCACCUUCAAAUUAGUUCGCCUCUGUCUGAAUUUGUAUGUUUCAGAAGCCCUCUCUAUUAUUUUACAAACUUUUGCCACAUUUUUUAAACCAUAUAUGCAAAAAGGUUUCUACUGUAUUUUCUUGUCAAGAUUUGGACCACUAUUUCAACUAUCUGAGUGCUAAUUUUCAAAAGCUCAAAAAGCCUGUGUGUUUGCUAUUUUUCUUUACGCUUCUGCAAUCUCAAAAUUCUUUCACUUUUGUUCUUUUACUACGACUUUCCUAACUAUUUCACUAGGCAUUCCAAAUGUUUCUAAAUGACUUCUGCAGAUAUCUAAAAAACUUAUACUGUCUCUUUUAAGUUCUGAGCGUUUUUCUCUUACGUUCCUUUUCUGCAAACUCUGCAACUUCUGUUUUAAUUUAUGCUCCAGCUUCCUUUUAAAAAAAACUCUCUUUAGACCUUACAUGUGUUUAAAUGAUUUAUAUGAUCCCUUUAUAUGCAAGUCCUACUUGUUUUGUAUGUCGCUUAGUACUAUUAACUUUUAAACUUAAGGGUUCAACCUUGUUCCUACCUUAUAGGAAUAAUGAUCCUGAAUGCCCUAUAGGAUCUAUAGGACGGGAUAGGUAAUAGCACGCAAUAAGUAUUCGUGACCAAUUCACACGCUUAAAUAACCUCUAAGGGGUGGGAAGGGUAGAAUAUGGUGAUGAUGACGAUGCGAU